This is a long non-coding RNA of Astatotilapia calliptera (eastern happy), 6941 nucleotides long. The record is from Ensembl. Lineage: Eukaryota; Metazoa; Chordata; Actinopteri; Cichliformes; Cichlidae.
GGCAGAUGUUCGGUGUACACCGGCCACUGGUUGGGGUGAGGCCGGUCUGGCGUGCACGUCCAAUUGAGCAUGCUCCUCUGGCACAGGGACCUCCAUCUCCUCGCGCGGCCCCUCCGUCACCACCCCCGCUUCCGGCUGGCGGGGACCCUCGCAUGCCUCCUCCACCACCAGCGAUGGUGUAGCAAGUUCCUCCCACGCUGACCUCCAGCUCGGGCUGGGCAGGUGGGUGAGCUAGUGGUGGGCUCAGCAGUUGCUCCUUGUCCCUCCUCCGGAGAGCAGGAAUGGGAGCUGGCCCCUGCCGGGCACAAGCUACUCCCACCCGAGGAGUGGGGAAGGGUGCGGUGACAGGCUGCGGACCGGCCACCCCAGAGGUGUCGGGGAGCACCUGUGGGGGUGGCGGCGGUGUCGGGCAGCUCUUUCUGCUGCCGGCGACACACCGCCGCCUGCUCCCUCUGCAUGGCUGCCAGCUCAGCCACCAUUUGCACCAUCUCCUCUCUCUGCUUGCCCAGUCCUGAGUCUGCCGAGCCUCCCGUCCUGGGUUUCGGCACCACUGUGAAUGACCACAGCAGACCAGGUAACAUGAACAUGCUUUGCACCCUUUAUUUACACACAAACACACAGAGCUGCAGCUCUCCCGCUGCCAGCUCAAAAUUACCACAGCAACCAACCAUCGCAUGAUCCAGCGCUAUGCUUAAGUCGGCGGGUGUAUCCGCCUUCCGUGCACGGCACCGCAGGCAACGCCACAUCUACGCUUUAAUCUUUAGAGUGCUGUUAGGGGCCCGACUAUUUUACAUGAUCAUAGUUCCCACUAAACAAAGUAUCUGAAAUUCCGUGGUGAAUAUUUCAGAAUCUUUCCAACUUUAUUGUUAUUUGGCAAUGAAAAACUUCUAGUAUUUUGGUCUCAAACACUAAAACUCUCUAACACUAGUUGCUAAGCUUUAUGUUGAAACAGUAAAGCAAGAUCAAAACAUUUUGCUGUCAUGAAACCUGUUGUAAUGCUAAUACUAAAUUCCAGAUUCACAUUGUUUAUGUCAAAAUCCCGAUAGCUUACCAGGGAGAAUAUACUAUAUUUUUGCCUGGUCAUGAUACCAGUUGCCUGUUAUAGCUGUGUUUAAUGGCAACUAACUGGGCCGACAAAGGUCAGUGCAGCUCAGAUGUGCCAUAUUCACAAUGGAAGUCAUUCGCUAAACCAUCUGCAUUGAAUAAUAUCUAUAAUGUAAAGUUGCACACAAUGGAAUUGAUUCAUAGCAAUGUGGCAACCAGAGGCCAUAAGAAGUCCGUGACAUUCAGUGACUUCAAGCGACUAUGGCCAAAGUAACCACUGGCAAAGGGAAAAGGAUGGGAUCCAAGAUAAACUUUUCUCAUCUUCCAGGUGAGAAACUGAAGUAUAUAACAAUGAAGAGUGAAGUCUAUUGAGUUUGGAAAGAAAAGCUUCUGGACUUUCAUCUAAGAAGCUUCUUCAACUCUAAGAACUGAAGGAGCUUCUUGGAUGAGAGGUGAAACAUCAUCAACAAACUUAAAGAAGUCCAGACGCUUUUCUUUACAAGCUCCUUAGACUGCAGUGACCUGGAUGACUGAGAGCCAACAGACAAUGAAUAGUGAAGAAUAUCUGUAUUGUCAUAUGACCUGAUAGUGAAUAACAAUAGAAGGUAACCUAGGCAACCAGUGGCCGGAACACUCACCAGCAACCAGCUGUCAGCUUCAAAGUAAUGCGUGAUGACCAAAAUUGCUGUUUGAUGACCAAACUUUUUUUUAGGUUGCACUCAAGUUUUAGAAUUUUGUCUGCCUUCUUGUUCAUAGAAUGAUACAUUUUGUUAUAUCAGAAUGUUGUUAAUGCCCUUAAACAUCUCACUAAAUUCAAGAUUUACUCAUUUAUUUAUUUUAACCCUACGAUCGUGACAUCUUUUUUGCUUCUGAACCUGUUGUCAUAAUCUCAGGCAUAAUUAUACCAUUCUUUAGCCAAAUGCUUCAGAUAUCUCAUUCUAGUUUUCUCUUAAACAGUUGCUGGAAUAGUUAAAUGUUAGUAAGAACUCUGUGUUGGUGGUAGCUCCCUGCUGCAAACGCGAUGUGUAGCAUCUAGCAGGAUGGCUACAAUGCCAAAAUGCUUCUCAUUAUUCUCAGUUUCUGGACAGAUCUGCAGUAUUGUUAAAAGCAGUGUAAAGGAGUCUACUUUGACAACGACCAUAUGAAAAAGGUUGAUAUUAUUUACUGUUAAAGGUUCUCUGAUAAAGCAACUUUUAAAGAUCUGGACUCACAAUUAGAGAGAUGACUCAGUUUAAAUAACUGAAACAUUCCAGUAAUAUUAAGAGCUCUCUUCGAAAUAGAGGACAGAACUACAAACCUAUAAUUACAUGUGUUACUUGUUGAAAUAGGCAUCUAAGUAUAGUUCUGGGUUUAUGUCAAAUCAACUGAUAAAGGAAAACGACAACACCUUGGUCAUCUCUGCUUUGAAUUCUAGUUGUAAUUUACCAGUCACACAUUUUUUAAAACGGACUGUUUGAUACUUAUUGUACAGAGUUUAAGAAUAAUUUAAAAAAAAAAAAUCUUAGGGUUCUAGGGUUUUCUAUCUGAGCAUUAUUUAUGAACCAGCAGGAAUCUGUGUUAGCAUGGCUGAUGCUAAUGUGCCAGAAGUGGCUAACCAGCUAGCCUUUAGCUUAACAUUCCUGUACUCUUGCUUUGUUGAUGCAGUGUUGAGCAGAAUACGUUAGAGUAUUUAGUGCCUGAUUACUGAAUACCUCAUCUUAAAUGUAACAUAUAGGCUAUUGAAAACAACAGAGAAAUAUAACAUAUUCCGAAUUUUUCUAGAAUACUCCGCCAGAAGAGCGGCUUUCAUGUUAAACAGGUUAUACUACAAUCUUUUUUCCUAUUACUUACAGACCAUUAACAUAUAUGAUCAUUUUAUACUACUAAAAUCAACAUACUAAGAUCUAUUAGCAGGUUAAUGGUUUACAUGUAUAACGUGGACCAUAUUAAAAUAUAUAAAAUCUUUACGGUUUCUACCAAACUUUAGGCAAAAUGACGGGUUUGAUUGUCUGCUUGUUAAGUAAUCAGGUAUUAAACCCUGUUUCCAGGUAUCAAAGCUCAAGACAUUGAACUUAGGACCACAGUUUUUCAUACUAAGCAAUCCAAAACAUGCAGUAACACACUGAUUAUUAUUCAUGUGUAGUGGAUGGUGUCAUCUCUGACUUCUAGGCUGAUGUUUUAUCUGUGUCCAGUGUUUUCUGUCUUCCAUAUGAAGUUUAUAUCUGCCAGCAGCGCAUCCUCUUACAUUUUUAUUGAGAACAAUUUAAGCCACAUCCUACAUCCUCAUCCCUGUGCUGAUGUGUUGAUAUUAGCCUACCUAUUGCUCUGUAGCCAGCUACAAAGGAGUAGAUCAUUAUGUCAACUAACCCAACUUCAGUGACCCUCUAUAUGUUACUGCUAGUUUCCAUAGCAGUCUUCAUUUGCAUCUAGAAGUGCUGUAUGUUUAUAGUUUUUCAGAAAGACAUCAGUAAAAACAUGGUAUACAGUCUUUAAAUGACAACUAUCUCAGUGACUAAAGUCAGCUUACUGCUAACUCUGCCAAACCCCAUAGAUCACUGUUUUAAUGGGUGCCUGGAUAAUAAAUUAUAACACCUGGAAAACACCACACUGAUAAUUUUAUCGGAAUCUGGACCUUAAAAAAACAAAAACAAAAAUGAAUAGUGUUCAGAAAGGACAUUUGGACCUGGAGAUGGCUGAUGAGGUUAGGCUUAAAAAGCAGAUAUAAAAAAUCAUGACCAUUAUAAUUAUAUUUACAAUCUUAUUGCCUUCUCUUGCUAAAGUCUAAUGAUUAAUCAGUGCAUAACACAUACCAGAGAAAGUCUAUGCCACCUAAAAUGGCACAGAUACUUAAGAAGUGUGACAGAGGCAAGACAGAAAACAACAAAAACAAAAUGCUUUAGUUGAGAUAUUUGUCAAGAUAAAAUAUUUGAUAGAAGUUUGAUUGAAGGACGGGAAAACCUAAAGCUACUAUACAAUCCUUUUGAAUAGUAAUAAUAAUAAUAAAAAAGGAAAAGUACUGGUUCAGACUAAACAGUAUCUUCUAUAAACUGUCAAUAAUACUGAAUAUAAAGGCAAUAAGUUCUGAUGGAACAAUAAAAUUUAAGGUUUCAUCAAAGGAAGAGGUAUCUACCCAUCUGUCUGUCUAUCUAUCUAUCUGUGAAAGAGCUAAGACAUCUCUUCCAUUGCCAAAGCACAUGCGUGAAAACAACAAUACAAUCAUCAAAUAAAACUUUAUAAUAAUCUCUUUCCAGUCUUCAAUUUUUUUUCUGCCAUAUACCUGCUUUUGCAUAAAUGUUACAGGUUUUUGUAAAAGACGGAGGUUUGGUUGGUGCAAACAUAUGUUCAGUGUUUUCUUUUUACUUUAUUCUGUCGGUAAGUUCUGUGUCUGAAAACCUGAUUUUUCUGAGUCUGCCUGUCGAAUGUGUGUGAGCUGCAUGCAACUGGACCGCUUCACGUCUGCUUUUUGAGAUGGAUUUUUUAAAAGUCAAAACAUUCAAAAAGGGAAAAAGAGAAGGGGGAGAUGUUCGUCCUGCUGGCUUUUGUCUUGCAGUGCAGUGAACCUAGGUUAACUCUGCUACUCUUCUGUUUUUUGUUGUUCAGUUAUUGUACUCUUUGACCUGUUGAAAAUUCAUAUGGCACUCUUCUUCAACUUACAAAGUGCUUUAAGACUUUUUGUAUUUCUUUGAAUGAUGUUUUUAUUUUUGCUUUUUUUGUUUCACUUCCACUGCGAUUUGCCCUCUAUGGCGACAUGUAUUCUAACCUCAAUGAGGGACUUGUACAGUGUUACCCUCCAUUUCCCCUGUUCACCUUGGUAAGAGUCAGACCUAGGCCACAUUACCUACCUAAAGUCAGUUUCACCUCUCCAGUUGAGAGAUCAGUCAUGACACUCCAAACAAAAGCUGCAGGUCUCCAGUCUUUCCUCAGAGGUACAGCUGUUCUGAAAGGAGAAACACCGUCAUUGUCUGGGGCUAAACUUGAGAAGCACCAGCUGGCAGAUUCUAAUAUACUUUACAUUUGGACUUCUGCUAAAAAAAAGUCAUUUUACAUUAAUUAUGUAUUAAUAAGCAGGUUAAUAACCUAAAAGAAAGCAUUUGCGAAAUUGUAUAAGUAUUAUUGGUGUCUUGUGAUAACUGGUUGGAGAAAUUACAGGCUUAAUUAUUUUCUUGCUAACAGUAGCUUUAGAAGAUUUAGGGGCUUCUCAUAGCUGAUGGUUUCCACCAGUGUACAGCAACAAUGAACUAAAAAAAUAUGUUGUAUAAUUUAACAGUAAGAUACAAUAGUUAAUAUCACCUCCCACUUCAUUAUGGACAUCUGUUUAACCUCUUGUUACCCAUAUAUAAAAUCAACCAAUCACAUGACAGCAAAUCAGUGCCUUUAUGCACUAUGACUAUGAAUACUUAGAUAAUGCUGAGGGAAGAAACAAUAUUCACAUGGCUUUGAAUGUGGCAUUGUUGCCACACAGGGAUCUCCAGGGUUUUUAAAAAUGGUCCAAAAAAAGACAAAAUAUCCAGUCAGUGGCAGUUCCCUGAGUGAAAAUGUCUCGUUAAGGUCAAAGGUUGGAGCUGAUAGGAACGCAACAGUAACACUGUGCCAUUCCUUUCAGCUAAGAGCGGGAGACCGAGAUAGCAGUUCACAUAAGCUCACCAAAAUUGGACAAUAGAAGAGGGGAAAAACAUUUCCUGAUCUGAUCAGUCUCAAUAUCUGCUGUGAUAUUUAGACAAUAGGAUCAGAAUUUGACAUAAACAAAGCAUCUUGCCUUGUAUUAACAGUUUAGGCUGGUGAUAGAGUGAUAUAGUGUGGGAUAUUUUUUUGGCAAAGUUUGAGCUCUUUCUACUAGGUGAGCAUCAUUUAAUGUGACUGCUUACCUGAGUAUUGAUGCUGACUGUCUUCUGAUGGGUGAUCAGAGUUCAUUGUAUUCAAAUGGUUCCCCACAGUUACCAGAUCUCAAUUUAAUAGAGCAUCUUGGGUGGAAGACGAGAGUCACAUCAUGGGGGCGUAACUGACAAAUCUGCAGCAACUGUGCAAUGCUUUCUUUUUAUAUGCACCCAAAUAAAUGAGGAAUGUUCACAGAACCUCGUUGAAUCUAUGCCAUGGAGAAUUAAUGCAGCUCUCAAGGCAAAGGUGGGUCCAACCCAGUACGGUAGUAGCAAAGUGUACUUAAUAAAGUGACCAGUGAGCAAAUAUACUCUCUGUGCUUCAGAAUUAGUGUUGGAGUGAUGUGAAACCCCUGAAGCUACAGCCAGUUAUCUCGGAGAAAUAAAGAAUUGAUUGUCUUGCUUGGCUCAAAGAUGGCAGCAUACACCAAUAAACUGGGCUUGAUUGAUCUAUACUUGAUUGAUCAACAGAUUAGGAUUUGAGGUGUAGAGUGUCCACUUGCAAAAAAAAUAAAAUAAUGUAAGCUACUUUCCUUUGUGCACCAAGGAUGACAGUAUAUUUAAAUAAAAAUUGGUGUUUUAUUUUUAACUCAAGCUGUUUUUUGCUUUUUUGAGGCUCCACCUGUGAGGUUUAACUCAAGCAGAAGGAUUUCUCCCAAGGGAGCGGGUCUGCCUCUGAGAGCUGACCUGCUUCAAAGAAACAUUUGCAAAACUAAAUCUAAUCUCUGCACCAUGAUUUUUGGGGUGUAAUAAUGUGGCCGGGGUCUGAACUGUGGCUGUGUUACAUAAUCAUACUUUAUGCCUUGUGGCUGUAUGAAAUGGCCCUAUGACUUUGGAACCUGCUGUCCUCUGGUGAGCUACUUGUGUGUAUGUUAAUAUAUACACACCUUGUUGGUAUUUAUUUAUUUAUAUAUGUAUUGUAUGUAUUGAUUUGGUUAUUUAUUAAUUUAUUUAUUCCUGUGUCCUAUUUAAUGGUUAGGCACCUGUGACAUAUUUGACGGUCGUCAAUACAUUGGUGUAUGGUGUAGAGUAUGGGAGGGGUAG